GGUGCUAGAUGAUAAAUGUAUAUAUAUAUAUAUACAUACAUAUUGCAUGCUUCUUGAAAGAGUAAUGUAUUGGGCUUAGUGCUUAUAUCUAGCAUGCUUGAGGUUUAUAUAUAUGUGAUGUGAAACCCUAUAAUGAGAUGAUAGGUGUGGAGGAGAACUUAGUAAUGUAUUGGCUAUUGCAUUGGAAACUUUAAACUGUCAUUGAUCAAGUUGCAUAUUAUGAUGUUGCAUAUAGGGUGUUUAGAAACUUGUAUCUAUAUUUGCAUGCUAGUGUUAAUGUAGCUUGGUAGAUAUAACACUUGAAUCUAGUAUGCAUGAAGUUAGUAUGUGCACCUUAACCCUAUAUGAGAUGAUAUGUGACGGAUUGGAACCUAGGCAAAUGAUAACCUAGUGUUUGUGUUGUGUGAACGAAGAACCUAGUAAAGUGUGAACUAGAGUCUUGGAAACUUGUAAAGGACGAGUGGCAUCUAGUUAAUGUUAACCUAUGACGAGUGGCAUCUAGUUGAUAGCACAUAUGAGAACCUUAGUGUAGUUGAAACACUAGAAGGUUGAGUAUUAGACUGGCAUUGAGUUGAUGAGUUGUUAACCCUAGAUGAUAGGGUGUUCCCAGUUGAUGACACUAUCCUUAGUUGAUAGGAUGUUCCCAGUUCAUGAGAUUGGAUCGAGCUCACAUAGCCUGUCUGCACCUGUGGAGGUCGCUCCUCACAGGUAGUGCACUCCGGAGUUUGGCACGCGAGGGGGCCAGUGUAGUUGCCCUUGGACCAGUGUAGUGUCCGCAGGCGGUCUCGGGGUAGGUGAAUAGCUAGCCACCUCCCUAGGAGAUUUACAGACGUGAGACUGUGCGCGAACCUCGAGUUCGCCGAGAGAUUGGGUAACCUGAUGAGUUACAUUGUGUAUAAUAGCCUGGCACUUAGCCUUAGCCUUAUUGAUGAACCUAGUAGUAUGAUAAUUAGCCUCCAGUAUGAGUUGCAUCGACAUUGAGUAUAGUCGCUUGGUAGUCAGAGUAGUGGAUUUGCCUACAUACAGUGAGUGGACAUACUAUUCUUUCACCUAUGAGAUUUGAGCGAG
This 1068-nucleotide long non-coding RNA is filed under the name Ananas comosus (pineapple). Its description in RNAcentral is "long non-coding RNA (ACOM_LNC008796)". The record is from RNAcentral. Lineage: Eukaryota; Viridiplantae; Streptophyta; Magnoliopsida; Poales; Bromeliaceae.